CCGCAAGGCAAGGGAAAUAAAGAAAGCCUUUUUGUUCUCGUCCGAGGGGGAGAGAAACUAGUAUUAGAGCCCAGUCAUCGCCAUUCGCUGAAAUUAGGGCGAAAACCAGGUCUCACUUCUUGCCUUUCUCUCGUCCAAUUUCCUUUCUUUUACUCGACUCUGUUCCAGUGUUCGAAUCACGGUGUUCUUCUGGAUCUUUAAUGCUAUUUUCUUAAUGAACAAUUCGAGAUACGGGUUGUAGUGAGGGUUUUUUUUUUUCUUUUCUCUCCCCCUUUUCCCUUGGCGCAAAGAUUUUUCUAAGCUCCAGAAUGAGUCUUGAAAGGUCUCUAUAUUUCUUUGUCUGAACUAAAAAGAUGUUGCUCGGAUUGAAAUAGCGAGAAAGACAUCAAAAGGUCUCAGGGAUAUUUGAUUGCAAACAAGGAAGCGUCAGGAUCCCUGAAAAAAGUGCUUUGCGCCUGCUUCUUCAUAUUUCUUGAAAGGUUCUUAAAUGCAAAGAGGCAGCAAAAAGUGAUGGAUUGUCUGCUGCUUGGUUCAACGGGGCCACCCAUCAAACAAGAAGCUGGUCUGCAUUGGAAGCAAGCAGGGUAGGGCUCUUACUGGGGCAGUUAGAUGCAGGAUAGCAGUCUACUGGCUUGGAAUCAUAAAUCUUGGAGCACUGUUUAGUUCUGGCUGUGAGAACUAAUACUUAAUUAGAACAGUUAUUAAGGAAUCUUUAUGACAACAUGCAGUGGAAAUAUGCAGUGCUCUGGAGGCUCAAGCCAAGAAAACAUAUGAUAUUGACAUGGGAUGACGGCUACUUUCACAACACAGAAGCAGAUGUUACUUUGGAAUCUGCUCCAUCUGAAUGAAUGCCUCUGUGUUAAACCUUGGACCAUUUCUUUCACUUACAAGAAUGCUCAAGGUGAAAAUAUUGCAAAGAAUCCUGUUGAUGUAGCAGCUGCAAACAUGCCAUUGUCAUCGAUAUAGACUUGGAGAAGGUCACGGGAAUUGCCUACUGUUAGGUCUCAUACUCCAACAUCGUUCAUGGUUCAAGAUGAUGUCCAACCCUCACCAGAUGUGAUGGCCCAAGUAUUUGAUGCAUAUAUAUGACCGCAUGCAGAUGAAAGUGUAGGGAAAGCGAGAUAUGAUAAUGUCGGGAUAGAUCCUACUGAAGAACCUAGUGUACUGAAUUAUUCCAACAAGAUCCUGCAUGUCAUAUGUCCAAUUUCAGCUUCCUUGAGGGUGAAAUAAAUGUAGUUUCACAACCGAAUGCUAUUGACCAUAUAUUAAUUUCUGCACAAUCUAUCAUGCCAAACUCUUAUUUGGAAGAUUCAGAAUAAGACGGUUCUUAUGAUCAUUGUACUAUCAAAGAUAUGACCCAGGGAUUUGGAAAGGGGCUUGCUAGCAAGGCUGCUUAUGUGAUAGAUGAGAGUUUGGAACUUGCCCAUUGACUCCGAGCUUGCACAAAGCACAUGGGAUGGGCUGUAUAUUGAACACUAGUCUAUCAAAAGCUGAUGAAUUUACCAUGUUCGUGGAGGAAACUGAUGCAUGGUUCAUGACAGAAAGUGGUGCAGAGCAUCUGUUGGAUGCAGCAGCCGGCAAUUUUCAUCGUGCUUCAAGUGUUGAUGCAUCUGAGGUAUCCAAAUAUAUAAGAUCGUGUGGCAACCCUGCAAAAAAAACCUAAGGAGUCUUAUCUAACAUGGAGAAGAAGUGGUCUCUUAGGCGCAAUAAGUUGUAAAAAGUCUGCAUCUGUCUCCAAAAGUGAAUGCUUCACAAGUCCUGCUUCUGUUUCUUCGUCCAAGAGCAUUUGUAGGUCGAUCAAUGACAAAAGGUGCAGCACCAUGUUUAUGGACACUGCAGCCAACAGUCAACUCCGAAUAAAAACAUAAGGGAUAAAAGUCACAAAACUCACAGACCAAGAACAAGGGACGGGGUUGAUACAAGAUCAGGUUAAGGAGUUGCGGGAGCUUAUUCUGAGCAGACCAGAGAAGGCUUUUGCACGUGUGCUUGUGAAAUCUUCUUCUCUCGUGCAGUGCAGCGUUGAUGCAUUGUUGGAUAGAGCUGUAAAGCACACGUUCCUUCUGUGAAGCAUUACCAGUCAAGCUGAAAAAUUGAGGCGAUAGGCAUAUCCAAAGGCUUCCAGGAGCUUCCACCGAAAGCAGAUUCUCUGCCCGUUAAUGCAGCAGCUGCAGCAAAAUUACACAUACACCCCAGGCAAGUAAUGAUGAUUUAUCUGGUGUUGUUUGAUUAUCGGUUGAUCUUUCGGAAUUUAUCUGUAUUUACUUUGAACAGAGGAUGCCAAGCUGUAUAAUUAGCUAUUAUACAGGAAUGACUGCUUCAUUGCAUAAAUGAUCAUAGAUGGGCUGAGUACACACUGCAGCAUGUCAAAGACAUUAAAAAAAAAA
Non-coding RNA from Phoenix dactylifera (date palm), 2384 nucleotides. The record is from RefSeq and is a predicted model, not a curated record. Lineage: Eukaryota; Viridiplantae; Streptophyta; Magnoliopsida; Arecales; Arecaceae.